This 253-nucleotide ribosomal RNA is filed under the name uncultured bacterium. RNAcentral describes it as "partial 16S ribosomal RNA". It matches the Rfam family "Bacterial small subunit ribosomal RNA", at positions 524 to 776 of the family's 1533-position model. The record is from RNAcentral.
UACAUGGGGUGCAAACGUUGCUCGGAAUCAUUUGGCGUAAAGAGCGUGUAGGCGGCCAGGUAGGUCUGCUGUGAAAACUCGAGGCUUAACCUCGAGCUGUCGGCGGAAACCAUCUGGCUAGAGUCCGGAAGAGGAGAAUGGAAUUCCCGGUGUAGCGGUGAAAUGCGCAGAUAUCGGGAAGAACACCCGUGGCGAAGGCGGUUCUCUGGGACGGUACUGACGCUGAGACGCGAAAGCGUGGGGAGCGAACAGG